UACGUAGGCAGCGAGCGUUGUUCGGAGUUACUGGGCGUAAAGGGUGUGUAGGCGGUUUUCUAAGUUUGGUGUGAAAUCUCCCGGCUCAACCGGGAGGGUGCGCCGAAAACUGGGAGACUAGAGUGCGGGAUGGGAGAGUAGAAUUCCUGGUGUAGCGGUGAAAUGCGUAGAUAUCGAGGAGGAAUACGGUGGUGGUAGCACGGCUGCUCGUGGACCGCCACGUGACGCUGAAGACGACGAAAGCGUAGGGUAGCAAACAGGAUAG
Molecule: ribosomal RNA, 265 nt
Filed under: uncultured bacterium
Lineage: Bacteria
Description: partial 16S ribosomal RNA
Rfam family: Bacterial small subunit ribosomal RNA
Source: RNAcentral